Molecule: ribosomal RNA, 485 nt
Filed under: uncultured bacterium
Lineage: Bacteria
Description: bacterial SSU rRNA
Rfam family: Bacterial small subunit ribosomal RNA
Source: RNAcentral
GAUGAACGCUGGCGGCGUGCUUAACACAUGCAAGUCGAACGAAGAUACUUAAAAUGAGAGCUUCGGCAGGAUUUUUAUUUAUCUUAGUGGCGGACGGGUGAGUAACGUGUGGGCAACCUGCCCUAUACUGGGGAAUAAUCACUGGAAACGGUGACUAAUACCGCAUGUCAUCACGAGAAGGCAUCUUUUUGUGAGAAAAGGAGUAAUUCGGUAUAGGAUGGGCCCGCAUCUGAUUAGCUAGUUGGUGAGAUAACAGCCCACCAAGGCGACGAUCAGUAGCCGACCUGAGAGGGUGAUCGGCCACAUUGGGACUGAGACACGGCCCAAACUCCUACGGGAGGCAGCAGUGGGGAAUAUUGCACAAUGGGGGAAACCCUGAUGCAGCAACGCCGCGUGAAGGAAGAAGGUUUUCGGAUCGUAAACUUCUAUCAACAGGGACGAAGAAAGUGACGGUACCUGAAUAAGAAGCCCCGGCUAACUACGUG